CAACCCUCAAGCUCUGCUUGGUGUUGGGGCCCUACGGCUGCCGUAGGCCCUGAAAGGAAGUGGCGGGCUCGCUACAACUCCGAGCGUAGUAAUUCAUUAUCUCGCUAGGGAGGUUGCGGCGUGCUCCUGCCGUUAAAGACCCAUCUUUAACCAA
RNAcentral lists this unclassified non-coding RNA (154 nucleotides) under uncultured fungus. Its description in RNAcentral is "sequence contains ITS2". The record is from RNAcentral. Lineage: Eukaryota; Fungi.